Molecule: unclassified non-coding RNA, 1470 nt
Filed under: Hevea brasiliensis (rubber tree)
Lineage: Eukaryota; Viridiplantae; Streptophyta; Magnoliopsida; Malpighiales; Euphorbiaceae
Source: RNAcentral
GUGUGUGUGUGUGUGUGUAUAAAAGCUUGUUUCAAAUAGUCCAUUUUAAAAUCUUCUAGAACAGGUACAAUGGUCAACGUCAAUCUGCAAGUCUGGCAUUUUGGGCUUGCAUAUGGACUCAAUGACAUGUUCUCUACUUUUAUAGCAGCUGUAGAAACUAGAAAGGAUGAAGAACCUUUAGCAGACCUAAAGAAACUGGAGUCUUAUUUCCUUCUAGUCUUGGAUAUGCCCCUGAGCUUUGCCUCAAGACACAAGAGGUAAGGCGUGAUUGGUAUAGUUCAUUGAGUCAAAUCUACUAAAGCAAACAAAUAAGCUGUAGUGAACAAAAAAAGUUUUAAAGGUGUUAUGGUAACAAAAGAUUGGAAAGGGAUGAAGGGUUGAUUGCUUUUUGAUAGGCAACUCAAUGCGAGAAUGGACUUUAGUGAGUUAUAGGCUCCUAGUUGACUGAAGUGUGAGCCUUAUUACCUGUUACGACAUCAUUGAUGAUGUGAUGUGAUUAUCAUCAGAUUAAAAUGAAAUUUGUAUUAAGUUAUUUUUAUGAUUGAGCUCCAUUUCAUUAUAAAAUAUUUGGAUAUAUACAAUAAAUAAUAAAUAUAUAUUAUUAUAUAAUUUUUAUAUAUGCACUACAAGUAUGUAUUGUUUUAAUAAAUCUUAACUCCUACGCUUUUGGGUGAUUCUAAGGCUGGCUGUUGAGUGUUGACUCAUUUAUUUGCUUGAAAUUGCCUAUUCUUAUUUCUAGUGCCUGUUAAUUGAGAAUUGUUUAUUGGAACAUGCACCAGUUAUAAUUUUUAUCUCCUUCACACGCAUGAUAUAUAAGAAAUAGGUUACUGUAUGCAUAAAAGAGAAUAUAAAAGAAGGAAAUUUAGAUGGUUUUUUGUGGAGAUUUAAGUUCUUAUAUUUGAGUGUCAAAUUGUCAGUUUGUCGCCCUUACUAAUAGUUGCUUAAAACUAUGGUACAAGAUCAACAAAGGGUAAUUUAUUACCCUUGUAACUUUUACACUUCAUUUAAGAGUAGUGUAAGGAGAUAAGGUGAGGUUUUUUAAAGUAAGGUAAGGUAAAGUAAUAAAAGGUAAGAUAAGGUUUUUUUUUAAUAUUAUGUUGUUUGAGAGGAAGGUAAGGUAAAUGAUGAUUUACUAAUCUUAUUUUUUUUUAUUCAAAGGUAUGAAAAGAUAAAGAUUGGUAAUAACUGAUAUUUAAUUUAUAAAAACCUUUUCAAUGCCCCCAAUUUGAUGGGUUGAUAAACCGAGAGUUUUAUAGAUUUUUAAAACCUUCAAAAACCCUCAAAAACUUUACUUUUCCCAUAAAAUCUCCCUUCCAAAUAAGUAUAUGUCUUACUUUACUUACAUUAAAAAACCUUACUCUACCUCCAAAAACUUACUCUCAAACAAAAUGUUAACUCGUGUAAUGUUGUUUGGAUACUUAAAGAUGCUAGGUUAAUUUUUUAACCUAGUUAAUAUUUAUCCCCUAUUUA